Molecule: long non-coding RNA, 2674 nt
Organism: Mustela putorius furo (domestic ferret)
Lineage: Eukaryota; Metazoa; Chordata; Mammalia; Carnivora; Mustelidae
Source: Ensembl
CUUAAGCAGCUACCCAGCAGGCUAGGUUGGCACACAGCUCAUUUCAGCCAUCCGUAUUUUCAGGUGUACCAUAUGUAUUUAGUACAUCAUUUGAUAAUGCUAAAAAAUAUUAAAGCAGUGUGAGACGAAAGGAGAAAGAAGAUGAAUGUUAGCAUUCCCCUGGGGUUCAUGGGUGAAGGAAUUAACACAGCGUGGCACUCUACCCUAGCUGUGUUUGUUUCCAUGGCAACAGCUACGUACAUGUUUCAGACUAUCUACAGUGACACAGUUGCAGAAAUAGUAGCUUGCAGGUUUCUGAUAUCGCAUCAGUGGACAGGCAGCACGCACUAUAUUAAGUAAGUGUAAAAGAAUUUAAAAUAUAGCUCUGAUUCAGAUGUAUAUUAGCUCGGCUGAGCCAUGUGUCGGGGUUUUUGACAUUCCCCUGCCUCACGACAGCAAAAUCUGGGCAAAGUUGAAAGUUGCAAGAUUCCAGUCAAACAAUUGUCCUUGCUUGGGCAAAUAUCAAAUGAAACAAAUGUGAGUGAGUUACAAAGUCACUAGAAAGCAUCAUCUCCUAAGACCGGCGUUCGUGUGAUGAUGGAGGCCUGUCUGUCCUUUCCGUGACUGGAGCAAUGCUGACCUCGGUUUCCUGGACCCAUUCCGACUCAGGGAGAAGAAAGUCAACAAAGGAAUUCCCAUUUGGCCAGCCUAGCCUGACAUCUGGGAAGAUCAUGGAGGAAAUUUUUCAUGUCAGAAACUGGGAGUUUGUUAAAAUGAUUGUCAGGGCUCCUGGCCGGCCCCGACGGUUGAGCAUCCAGCUCUGGGUUUCGGCUCAGGUUGUGAUCUCAGCGCCAUGACAUCGAGCCCCACACCGGGCUCUGUGCUCAGUGGGGAGUCUGCUUGAGAUACUCUCUGUCUUCCCCUGCUCCUACCUCUCCUCCCUGCACUCUCUCUUUCUCUAAUAAAUAAAUAAAUCUUUUAAAAAGUAAAAUAAAAUGAUUGUCUUCUCCUUCACCAGCCUUGAACAACAUUCUUUACAUCCUUCAGAAGAAUGGACUCGUCCCCGGAAGUAGCAUUGGCUUCUUUCUUCAGUAUGGUCCUUUCCAGGGACUGAACCAAGGGGUGGCUCGGGGCUCUAGUCCCCCCACACUCUGUCUCACACAGAUACAAGCCACUCGGACAGACCUUCACUGUGUUCAUUGUAGUACAGGUGCAGCACCCCAAGAAGCUCCCCAGCCAUCCCCUUCCUGGCCACUCCAUGCUACCUCGAAGCCCCUCCUACACAGACAUUCCAGAAUGGCCACAAUUCCUUAGUUUGCCCUUCUUGGCUCUUCCUUGUGGGCCGUCCUGGUGUUGACACCACUCUAUAGAUUUCAUUUUCCUCAGUGGGCCUCAGAAGGUUUCUUCUUGCAAAGAAAGAGCCCAGUGGGUGGGGGCCUCCAUCUGUCUGUGUGUUUGGCUGUCUAGAGGAAAGUUGUUCCUCACUCACCUGGCCCGGGGGCUCCGUUGUCUGUGCCUCCGUGCUUUCUGUGCUUCUGUUCGUCUCCCCCAGGCUCCCAGCCUGGGACAGAGUGCUGGGGUCUGGGCUUGUGUUGUCCACCUAACGAGUUCCUUCAUGGCCUUGGUGAUGUUGCCAAGGCCCCACAAGGAAUUUACAUGUACUCAAGAGAGACCCCUUUAGCCAUCAGAAUUCAGCUCUCUGGAAUAUAACCAGGAGUUAGGAAGAACUAAGAAAAGUCUCAGAGGACAAAAUACCUCUCUCCAAAGCUAAGCAUUAAACUUUAAGUAGAUCUUUGCUAGGUUUGUGUUUUGAGUGUGACCACACUCCCAAUUAACUCGGCUUUAUGAUUCUCUUUGCUUUUAUAGAUGAGAAAAACUGAAGCCCAAAGAGGCUAAAUAAUUUGCCUAAACUCUCCAAGCUAUGAGUGGUAGUACAGGUUCUUAGGACUCUAGACUUAGGAGGGUAAUCAGGUGUUCUGAAUGGUGGCAGCAAGAUAAGGAAAAGGGUUGAACUAUCUUUAACUCUUUCAUUUAGAAAGUAGUAGAAAGAUACAGAGUAAUUGCACGAUGGUUUCCUUCAGAACUUUUAUUUUUUUAAUUCUAGUGUGUGACAAGUAUCAGUUGGCUGAGAAAUCCCAGCUUGUGGAACUGUGCUUCCUGAUUCUGCCAAACGAAUGUGAAGUUACUAGAGUUCCCUUUGCUGAACAGCUAGUUCAUAGGCGCUUAUAAACUAUUUUUUGUAUCAUCAAGAGGAAGGAAGCCUCGGUUGUUCUGGGUCAUGGUGAUCAGCCUGGCUCUGGUGUGCACGGGCAGGAGACGGACAGCUUCUGGAAUGUCCCAGUGUCGGGAUAGACCCUUCCCCCAUGACUGAGGAUGGCUGCUUCCUGCAAGAAAGUUCCCUGCACGGGAGUGAAUGGUCACCAGCUCAUUGACAUUCACUGGCAUCCUUUGUUGGUGUUAAGCUUCACUGUUUUCAGAGUACUGUCCUGCACAUGAUCCCCUUGGUUUACAACACUCCUGUGUGUUAGGCAAAGCAGGCAGUGGUAUCCUUCCCAUCGUCCAGGUGAGGACAGCCAGGCUUGGAGGGAGGUGCACGUGGACGUGCUGCUGGGGAGAAGCAGGAGCCGAGCCCUUUGUCUAGAUCACCGAUUCAGAUCCUCCCGCCACUUGGAGCACCUGUGCCGUUCGUGCCCGG